Molecule: ribosomal RNA, 654 nt
Filed under: uncultured bacterium
Lineage: Bacteria
Description: bacterial SSU rRNA
Rfam family: Bacterial small subunit ribosomal RNA
Source: RNAcentral
AGAGUUUGAUCAUGGCUAAGGAUGAACACUGGCGGCGGAGCAAGGUAUGCAAGUUUGAUCUUGGUUUUCGGAACUUAGGGUAAGGACGGGUGAGUAAUGCGUGAUAAUCUGCCUUAAGGAUUGGGACAACAGUGGGAAACCGCUGCUAAUACCAAAUAUGCCUUUUAGUGAAACGGGUAAAACCGCCUUAAGAUGAGCUCGCGUCUGAAUAGCUAGUUGGUGUGGUAAGAGCGCACCAAGGCAACGAUCAGUAGCUGGUCUGAGAGGACGACCAGCCACACUGGGACUGAGACACGGCCCAGACUCCUACGGGAGGCAGCAGUGAGGAAUUUUCCGCAAUGGGCGAAAGCCUGACGGAGCAAUACCGCGUGAGGGAGGAAGGUUCUUGGAUUGUAAACCUCUUUUCUCAGAGAAGAAUAAUGACGGUAUCUGAGGAAUAAGCAUCGGCUAACUCCGUGCCAGCAGCCGCGGUAAUACGGAGGAUGCAAGCGUUAUCCGGAAUGAUUGGGCGUAAAGGGUCUGUAGGUGGUUGUUCAAGUCUGCUGUUAAAGCGUCUGGCUUAACCAGAUAAAGGCGGUGGAAACUGAACGACUAGAGUGCGGUAGGGGUAGAGGGAAUUCCCAGUGUAGCGGUGAAAUGCGUAGAGAUUGGGAA